This 374-nucleotide ribosomal RNA is filed under the name uncultured organism. RNAcentral's name for it is "partial 16S ribosomal RNA". It matches the Rfam family "Bacterial small subunit ribosomal RNA", at positions 527 to 896 of the family's 1533-position model. The record is from RNAcentral.
GUAGGUGGCAAGCGUUGUCCGGAAUUAUUGGGCGUAAAGCGCGCGCAGGCGGUUCUUUAAGUCUGAUGUGAAAGCCCACGGCUCAACCGUGGAGGGUCAUUGGAAACUGGAGAACUUGAGUACAGAAGAGGAAAGCGGAAUUCCACGUGUAGCGGUGAAAUGCGUAGAGAUGUGGAGGAACACCAGUGGCGAAGGCGGCAUUCUGGUCUGUAACUGACGCUGAGGCGCGAAAGCGUGGGGAGCAAACAGGAUUAGAUACCCUGGUAGUCCACGCCGUAAACGAUGAGUGCUAAGUGUUAGGGGGGUUUUCCGCCCCCCUUAGUGCUGCAGCUAACGCAUUAAGCACUCCGCCUGGGAGUACGGCCGCAAGGCUG